RNAcentral lists this small RNA (551 nucleotides) under Pan troglodytes (chimpanzee). RNAcentral describes it as "retained intron". Lineage: Eukaryota; Metazoa; Chordata; Mammalia; Primates; Hominidae. The record is from RNAcentral.
AUUGCGCGCGACCCGGCGGCGGGACAGGCUUGCUGCUUCCUCCUCCUCGGCCUCACCAUUCCAGACCAAAAUUGAAAAAAUGGUUGACCUCACCCAGGUAAUGGAUGAUGAAGUAUUCAUGGCUUUUGCGUCCUAUGCAACAAUUAUUCUUUCAAAAAUGAUGCUUAUGAGUACUGCAACUGCAUUCUAUAGAUUGACAAGAAAGGUAAGAAAUUUGGAGGUAAUAUUUUCUUACUUUUAAGAGUUGGAAUUCUGGAGAGCAGUUUUCUUAAUUUUCUUUUUUUAUUUUUGGUAAAGCCCAAUAGCACACUGUUUUAUGCUGUAAGUGAAGUAUGCAAUCGUUUGGCACAGAUGGAUCUGAUGUAUUUAUGGAACAGUUGCUUUCUCCUAGAAACUAGUAAAUGGUUUUUUCAUUAUGGCUUUUACCUUUUUAUCAUUCUGCUAAGCAGAUGAGAUAUUCUGGAAUAUCAAAGUUUUCACAGAAACUUUCUUUCAUUUUGGAAUUAAUUUUGCCAAUGAGGGUUUAGAAAACAAUCAUUUUCUAGACAGUU